Molecule: ribosomal RNA, 265 nt
Filed under: uncultured archaeon
Lineage: Archaea
Description: partial 16S ribosomal RNA
Rfam family: Archaeal small subunit ribosomal RNA
Source: RNAcentral
ACACGACUACAUUAGAUACCCGCGUAGUCCUAGCCGUAAACGAUACUCGCUAGGUGUCGGCCACGGUGCGACCGUUGUCGGUGCCGUAGGGAAGCCGUGAAGCGAGCCACCUGGGAAGUACCGGCCGCAAGGCUGAAACUUAAAGGAAUUGGCGGGGAGCACCACAACGGGUGGAGCUUGCGGUUUAAUUGGAUUCAACGCCGGAAAUCUUACCGGGACCGACAGCAACAUGAAGGCCAGGCUGAAGACUUUGCCGGAUUAGCUG